Molecule: ribosomal RNA, 633 nt
Filed under: Salmonella enterica
Lineage: Bacteria; Pseudomonadati; Pseudomonadota; Gammaproteobacteria; Enterobacterales; Enterobacteriaceae
Description: partial 23S ribosomal RNA
Rfam family: Bacterial large subunit ribosomal RNA
Source: RNAcentral
ACCCUUUAAUGUUUGAUGUUCUAACGUGGACCCGUGAUCCGGGUUGCGGACAGUGUCUGGUGGGUAGUUUGACUGGGGCGGUCUCCUCCUAAAGAGUAACGGAGGAGCACGAAGGUUGGCUAAUCCUGGUCGGACAUCAGGAGGUUAGUGCAAUGGCAUAAGCCAGCUUGACUGCGAGCGUGACGGCGCGAGCAGGUGCGAAAGCAGGUCAUAGUGAUCCGGUGGUUCUGAAUGGAAGGGCCAUCGCUCAACGGAUAAAAGGUACUCCGGGGAUAACAGGCUGAUACCGCCCAAGAGUUCAUAUCGACGGCGGUGUUUGGCACCUCGAUGUCGGCUCAUCACAUCCUGGGGCUGAAGUAGGUCCCAAGGGUAUGGCUGUUCGCCAUUUAAAGUGGUACGCGAGCUGGGUUUAGAACGUCGUGAGACAGUUCGGUCCCUAUCUGCCGUGGGCGCUGGAGAACUGAGGGGGGCUGCUCCUAGUACGAGAGGACCGGAGUGGACGCAUCACUGGUGUUCGGGUUGUCAUGCCAAUGGCACUGCCCGGUAGCUAAAUGCGGAAGAGAUAAGUGCUGAAAGCAUCUAAGCACGAAACUUGCCCCGAGAUGAGUUCUCCCUGAGACUUAGAGUCUCCUG